UUUAUACUCUAAUUUUUGUGGAUUUAUCUGAUUUAAAAGAAAAAUCUUUUUUCCUUAGUAAGAAUAAAAAGGAAAUUAUAAAUUACUGAGAAGGAAAAAUUAAAUAUAAUAAAAGUAUAAUUAGUACCUUUUGCAUCAUGGUCCAUGGAAAAAUUAAUAUAUAAUAAUAUCCCGAAUUGAUAAGAUCUAUGGGUUAAUUUAAGUUUAUGUUUCAUAAUAAUUUAUGAUUAACUUAUAGAAGUGAAAAGUUAUACCGUUUAUCAAAAUAUCUGGUUCUUUCGGAAUUAAAUUUAAUUUAUUUUUAAUUAGUAGUUGAUUUUUAACUCACUAUUAAUAAAUUUAAUACUUGAAGGGAUAAGCUUUUAAGUAUUUAAUAUUUCUUACUUAGAUAACAUUUUAUUACGUUUAUUAUAUUAAAAUUUAUAUAAAUUAAUUUAAAUUAAAUACGAAAGAUAAAAAUAUAAUUUUUUAUUUUUUAAUACAAUCAUGGAAUGAGUAGUUACAUACAAAUUUAGUUUAGGAACUCGGCAAAUACUUCUUUGUCUGUUUAACAAAAACAUAGCCUAUAUUAAAACAUUAUAGGUAAAGCCUGCUCACUGAAUAAUUAAAGAGCCGCAGUAUAUAUGACUGUGCAAAGGUAGCAAAAUAAAUUGUAUCUUUAUUGGGUACCGGAAUGAAUGGUUAGACGAAAGAAUAACUUUUUUAAUUAUAAAUAAUGAAAUUAAAUUUUAAGUUCAAAUGCUUAAAUUUAUAUGAAAGACGAGAAGACCCUAUAGAUCUUUACUUAUAAAUAUUUCUGUUAGCUCUAUUUAAAAGUUUAGUUGGGGCAACUAGAAUAUAAAAAAAAUUAUUUUUUAAAAAAAUUUUAUGUAAAGAAUAAUGACCUAUAAUUUAUAACCAAAAGAAAAGUUACCUUAGGGAUAACAGCGUAAUUAUGAGUUAUAAGAUCAAAUUAUAACCUAUGUUUGCGACCUCGAUGUUGAAUUAAGAUUUCUACAGGAGGAAGAAAGUUUGUUAGUUAGUCUGUUCGACUAUUAAAAUCUUACAUGAUUUGAGUUCAGACCGACGUAAGUCAGGUCAGUUUCUAUCUUCAUCCUAAAAAUAUUUACCAGUACGAAAGGACAGAUAAAUUGGUU
RNAcentral lists this ribosomal RNA (1136 nucleotides) under Colpocephalum spinicollis. RNAcentral describes it as "16S ribosomal RNA". The stretch from base 754 to 1093 matches the Rfam family "Archaeal large subunit ribosomal RNA", at positions 2151 to 2715 of the family's 2987-position model. Lineage: Eukaryota; Metazoa; Arthropoda; Insecta; Psocodea; Menoponidae. The record is from RNAcentral.